AGGUGCAACUCCUCCAGCCUCCGGGGCUAUUUUCUGCUUAUACCUCACAGCUCUGAGUUCUGCCUGGCAGCCUUUCUGAAAUGCAUUUCAGCUUGUUUCAUUACAAACUGCUAAACAGACAGCAGGUGUCUGUCACCUCCUCGGGGCCUGCUCAGAAGACGCUGCUCCCUGUGGCUGCUGGCACUGACUGGGGUGUGCAACAGGUUUGACUCUGCAAGAGUCAGGCUGGGAAAUCCAAAGAUCCAGAGUGGGAAGAUGGGGCAGGAAGAUUAAGCCAGAAAACUGCUGGGCACUAACCUCCUGACUGGCUUGGCAGCAAUCGUCACAGCAUGUGUAAUUGCAGCUUCAGAGUGACCUGCUUUGCUCUUGCUUUGUCAGUCCCCUAGCCAAAAUUGUGCUGUCAAGCUAAAAUCAAACUCUGCUGGUCUGCAAUAUAAGGCAGUGGGGAGAGCUGCUGGAUUGAGGAGCCAUUUGGAAACUGCGCUGCAGUGAUAUCCACCAAGAUCUCUGUGCCUGGUUGGUGACCUUCUUUGCUAAGAGGCAAAUGUCUGCAGCUUGUAAAAGAAAAAGAUGCCUCUGAAUGCCUUUCCACUUUUAAAGUCUCCCCAGCGCCGGCUCAGCAGAGCAAGUGAAACCCAUGGCAGUGCUUACUGUACUUGUACUGUAUGAAUGUAUGCAGCCAUACAUCUGGACAGAGAAGCAUGCCCUGAGCAGGGGGCUGGGAAUUAUUCCUGGAACUGCCUCUGACUUAGAGUUAGAGCCUUGACCUGAGCCAAACCACUAACUAGGAACUGUUUCAAAGCCAAUUCCUAUGAAAAAUAAGGCCAGUAACCCUUCUCUGUCUUGGUGUCCACCCUUGUAACUGCUUUGUAAAAAAGGACUACAUAACAACCCACAAGGGAUUGGGGAAGACUCAUUUAUUUGUAUUUAAAGUACAUCAGUAUCCUUGGAGGAAAGUUCCCUAUUAGAGCAAUAAUGAAUUACAACAAUAGCAACAAUUCAGUUAUCACCAUGAAAUUGCAGGGAUUUGGUCAAUAUCACUUGACUACAGUUUUGUUUAUCCUGCAGAUUACAACAAAGAACAAAUCAUCCUAAGUAUUUUUUGAACAUGGAGGAUGAAAAUGAUAUAUUGCUAUCUUUUAAAAGGAAAUUAAAACUUUAACUCUAAGGUGUGUGUAAUAAAAUGGCACUUUAAUUCUCUAGUGUGCCAUGAAGGCUUCUUCUGUUAAUUUAU
Molecule: long non-coding RNA, 1234 nt
Organism: Cygnus olor (mute swan)
Lineage: Eukaryota; Metazoa; Chordata; Aves; Anseriformes; Anatidae
Exons: 3
Source: RefSeq, a predicted model, not a curated record